RNAcentral lists this ribosomal RNA (460 nucleotides) under uncultured bacterium. Its description in RNAcentral is "partial 16S ribosomal RNA". It matches the Rfam family "Bacterial small subunit ribosomal RNA", at positions 338 to 795 of the family's 1533-position model. The record is from RNAcentral.
CCUACGGGAGGCUGCAGUGAGGAAUAUUGGUCAAUGGACGCAAGUCUGAACCAGCCAUGCCGCGUGCAGGAGGACGGCUCUAUGAGUUGUAAACCGCUUUUGUACGAGGAUAAUAACAGAUACGCGUAUCUGCUUGAAAGUAUCUUACGAAAAAGGAUCGGCUAACUCCGUGCCAGCAGCCGCGGUAAUACGGAGGAUCCAAGCGUUAUCCGGAUUUAUUGGGUUUAAAGGGUGCGUAGGCGGUUUGAUAAGUUAGAGGGCAAAAUUCGGGGCUCAACGCCGGGCGUGCCUUUAAUACUGGAUGACUAGAGAAUGGAUGCGGUAGGCGGAAUGUAUGGUGUAGCGGUGAAAUGCGUAGAGAUCGUACAGAACACCGAUUGCGAAGGCAGCUUACCAAACUAUAUCUGACGUUGAGGCACGAAAGCGUGGGGAGCAAACAGGAUUAGAUACCCGUGUAGUC